This 558-nucleotide small RNA is filed under the name Pan troglodytes (chimpanzee). RNAcentral's name for it is "retained intron". The record is from RNAcentral. Lineage: Eukaryota; Metazoa; Chordata; Mammalia; Primates; Hominidae.
AUCAGUAGAAGAAACUGAAGUUAAGUUGCUCUGUCAAAGCUAUUGAGGGCUUCAGGUAUAUAUGCCUUAGACCCAAUGAAGAGUCAGCCACAUCACCCAGGAAAGCAGUUAAUUAUCAAAACACAUAGAAGCUGUAUAUUAGAGGUUAAAAUUAUGAUAGUUAAGUCACUCAAUGGUUUAAAAAGUUGCCAUUCCCUGUAGCAGGAUUAAUCAUUUAUAAAAUAAAGUCCCUAUCCAUUACUUGCUUCACAUAACUUUUUUUAUGUGAAAUAGUGUUUUAUUGAAUUAAGUUCCAUAUCUGAGUUUUUUAGAUAACAUAUUGAUUUUAAAAUCUAAGUGUUAUAAUUCUUCAAACAAAUAAAGUUUGUCUUGGAGACCUUCAAAUUAGCUUUUCCUUUUUGCAAUAGCUGUUCAUAGUUUCAAGUUGAGUCGAAACCAUGUGGACUGGCACAGUGUGGAUGAAGUAUAUCUUUAUAGUGAUGCAACAACAUCUAAAAUUGCAAGAACAGUUACCCAAAAACUGGGAUUUUCUAAAGCAUCAAGUAGUGGUACCAGACU